GACGAACGCUGGCGGCGUGCUUAACACAUGCAAGUCGAACGGGAACCUUUAUUUCGGUAAAGGUGAGAGUGGCAAACGGGUGAGUAACACGUAGGCAACCUGCCGACAGGAUGGGGACAACAUUCCGAAAGGAAUGCUAAUACCGAAUGGAGUCCGAGGAUGGCAUCAUCCUUGGAUCAAAGAUGGCCUCUUAACAAUGCUAUCGCCUGUCGAUGGGCCUGCGUCUGAUUAGCCAGUUGGCGGGGUAACGGCCCACCAAAGCGACGAUCAGUAGCCGGUCUGAGAGGAUGAACGGCCACAUUGGGACUGAGACACGGCCCAGACUCCUACGGGAGGCAGCAGUGGGGAAUCUUCCACAAUGGGCGAAAGCCUGAUGGAGCAACGCCGCGUGAGUGAAGAAGGUCUUCGGAUCGUAAAGCUCUGUUGCACGGGACGAAAACUGGGUUUGAGAACAUUGAACCUGGGGACGUACCGAGCG
RNAcentral lists this ribosomal RNA (478 nucleotides) under Selenomonas sputigena. Its description in RNAcentral is "bacterial SSU rRNA". It matches the Rfam family "Bacterial small subunit ribosomal RNA", at positions 28 to 484 of the family's 1533-position model. Lineage: Bacteria; Bacillati; Bacillota; Negativicutes; Selenomonadales; Selenomonadaceae. The record is from RNAcentral.